GGGAUUGGGUGCGCGGAUCUUCAGAGAUUAGAGUUUGAUCAUGGCUCAGGAUGAACGCUAGCGGCAGGCUUAACACAUGCAAGUCGAGGGGCAGCACGAUGUAGCAAUACAUGGGUGGCGACCGGCGCACGGGUGCGUAACACGUAUGGAAUCUGCCCUGUACUGGGAGAUAGCCCUCCGAAAGGAGGAUUAAUAUCCCAUGAUCGCCGAGGUGGCAUCACCUUGGUCUGAAAGCUCCGGCGGUACAGGAUGACCAUGCGCACGAUUAGCUAGUUGGUGAGGUAACGGCUCACCAAGGCUACGAUCGUUAGGGGGCCUGAGAGGGUUAUCCCCCACACUGGUACUGAGACACGGACCAGACUCCUACGGGAGGCAGCAGUGAGGAAUAUUGCGCAAUGGAGGCAACUCUGACGCAGCCAUGCCGCGUGCAGGAAGAAGGCGCUACGCGUUGUAAACUGCUUUUAACCGGGAAGAAACCCCAGGACGUGUCCUGGGUUGACGGUACCGGAGGAAUAAGCACCGGCUAACUUCGUGCCAGCAGCCGCGGUAAUACGAAGGGUGCAAGCGUUAUCCGGAUUCAUUGGGUUUAAAGGGUGCGUAGGUGGGGCGGUAAGUCAGUGGUGAAAUCCUGCAGCUCAACUGUAGAAUUGCCAUUGAUACUGCCGCUCUUGAGUACGCUUGACGUGGGCGGAAUGUGCCGUGUAGCGGUGAAAUGCUUAGAUAUGGCACAGAACACCGAUAGUGAAGACAGCUCACGAAGGCGAAACUGACACUGAGGCACGAAAGCGUGGGGAUCGAACAGGAUUAGAUACCCUGGUAGUCCACGCCGUAAACGAUGAUCACUCGUGAUCGGCGAUAUACGGCCGGGUCACCUAGCGAAAGCGUUAAGUGAUCCACCUGGGGAGUACGGCCGCAAGGCUGAAACUCAAAGGAAUUGACGGGGGCCCGCACAAGCGGUGGAGCAUGUGGGUUUAAUUCGAUGAUACGCGAGGAACCUUACCAGGGCUCGAACGCACGACGACAGGGGUGGGAAACAUCCUCUUUCUUCGGACGG
RNAcentral lists this ribosomal RNA (1054 nucleotides) under uncultured bacterium. Its description in RNAcentral is "bacterial SSU rRNA". It matches the Rfam family "Bacterial small subunit ribosomal RNA", at positions 1 to 1027 of the family's 1533-position model. The record is from RNAcentral.